This 247-nucleotide ribosomal RNA is filed under the name uncultured bacterium. RNAcentral describes it as "partial 16S ribosomal RNA". It matches the Rfam family "Bacterial small subunit ribosomal RNA", at positions 15 to 257 of the family's 1533-position model. The record is from RNAcentral.
GAUCAUGGCUCAGAUUGAACGCUGGCGGCAGGCCUAACACAUGCAAGUCGAACGGUAACAGGAAGAAGCUUGCUUCUUUGCUUACGAGUGGCGGACGGGUGAGUAAUGUCUGGGAAACUGCCUGAUGGAGGGGGAUAACUACUGGAAACGGUAGCUAAUACCGCAUAACGUCGCAAGACCAAAGAGGGGGGACCUUCGGGCCUCUUGCCAUCGGAUGUGCCCAGAUGGGAUUAGCUUGUUGGUGGGG